CGGAUGCGUUUGCCGGAGGUGAACAUGGAGUCUUAGCUUUAGAGCUUGUACUGUAUAUGCUCUGUACGGCCCGAAUGCGCAGUGCACGCUCUAUUUUUAUAAUCCAGAUAGUAUACAGAUCAGUGUAUACACCGUAUACACGUUUUUGCAUGUUUACAUACCACGGCAAUGGUUGUUUGUAAAUACAAGUGCGCUACGAAUAACGAAUUUCUAGAAAGCCGAAGUUAGGCCACUUCUGUUGGUUUUCUGUAUCUUGCGUGAAUAUAAACUGCUAUAAGUUGUAUUCCAGCGAAUCAGGCAAACGGUACAUUUUGCGGGUAUCUUCUACCUGAGGCCAAAGACUAUGGAAUCUAAGGCUAACAAACCGUAGAAAAUAAGUUGUCGUUGGAUGAAAAAAACACCUAAAGAAAAUGGAAUUGGCAGGCUUUAGGGAGUGCGAGGAUGUUCUUGGAUUUACUAAUCAGACUGCAGUCCUGCUGAGUGGAAUGGGAGCUAAAGAACUUGUACCGCAAUUUAGGGAGAGAAAUAUAUCGACUGAAAUGUGCAAGCCAUGAACUUGCUCAUCGUAUGCUCAAGCAGUUGUCUCCAAUAUUGAGGCGUACCAGUUUAACGGUGUUAACACCGCAACAAAAGUUAGACCAGCUAUUAGAAUCUCUGGAAAAUAAUGGUAAACAUUUAUCACUCAUCAACGCGUUUGUUACGUAUACCAGAUUGCGUCUUAACAAGGAAAAAAUGGAUUCUUUCAUAGAAAUAAACGGUAAUCUGCGCAGUAGCCAAGCUUUGGAAUUGGCAGUUGCAGCAACUAUUUCUGAGAUCGAAGAAGCUCGAUCGGCUCUGCAAGAACUGAAAUUGUCUCUAGAGGACGGAGGCACCUCAAGGAGCACCACUUUUUAUUUUGCUACGGUCAGCGGGUUGGGACUGUUGACUUGGAUGUUGUUUAAAACUCGUUUCUAAGUUUUGUACCUACUUGAAACUAUCCAUUUCUACUUUUGUCAUAAAACUAUAGCACAAACAAAUAGUUGCAUUACUGUAAAA
Molecule: unclassified non-coding RNA, 1035 nt
Filed under: Neodiprion lecontei (redheaded pine sawfly)
Lineage: Eukaryota; Metazoa; Arthropoda; Insecta; Hymenoptera; Diprionidae
Description: uncharacterized LOC107222349, transcript variant X1
Source: RNAcentral